RNAcentral lists this ribosomal RNA (520 nucleotides) under uncultured Archaeospora. Its description in RNAcentral is "SSU rRNA". It matches the Rfam family "Eukaryotic small subunit ribosomal RNA", at positions 569 to 1092 of the family's 1831-position model. Lineage: Eukaryota; Fungi; Glomeromycota; Glomeromycetes; Archaeosporales; Archaeosporaceae. The record is from RNAcentral.
AGCAGCCGCGGUAAUUCCAGCUCCAAUAGCGUAUAUUAAAGUUGUUGCAGUUAAAAGCUCGUAGUUGAAUUUUGGAUUCUUCCAAUUGGUCCAUCUUUUAGAUGAGUACUGGUUGUGUGGGGUCUAUCCGCCUGGUGAUACGUAAUGUCCUUUAUUGGAUGUUGCGGGUAGUCAGGACCUUUACCUUGAAAAAUUAGAGUGUUUAAAGCAGGCUUAUGCCGGAAUACAUUAGCAUGGAAUAAUAGAAUAGGACGAAGUUGUUUUAUUUUGUUGGUUUCUAGGACAACCGUAAUGAUUAAUAGGGAUAGUUGGGGGCAUUAGUAUUCAAUUGUCAGAGGUGAAAUUCUUGGAUUUAUUGAAGACUAACUACUGCGAAAGCAUUCGCCAAGGAUGUUUUCAUUAAUCAAGAACGAAAGUUAGGGGAUCGAAGACGAUCAGAUACCGUCGUAGUCUUAACCAUAAACUAUGCCGACUACGGGAUCGGGCGAUGUUGUUUCCAUGACUCGCUCGGCACCUUAUG